AUUUAUCUUCAGGGAUAGGUGAGAUUCCUUACCGGCGGUAGACAGUACUGACUGUGAGCCGCGAGCCGCUUUGGCAGAUCCGGUCAAAGUCCGGAGCCGACAGUGAGAUGUAUUUUAUUAAUACAUUAAGUCUGGAUGGGAGAAGAUAAGA
Molecule: non-coding RNA, 151 nt
Filed under: Acetivibrio straminisolvens
Lineage: Bacteria; Bacillati; Bacillota; Clostridia; Acetivibrionales; Acetivibrionaceae
Also listed under: 1 other name
Description: Clostridium straminisolvens FMN sequence
Rfam family: FMN riboswitch aptamer (RFN element)
About the family: The RFN element is a highly conserved domain that is found frequently in the 5'-untranslated regions of prokaryotic mRNAs that encode for flavin mononucleotide (FMN) biosynthesis and transport proteins.
Source: RNAcentral